RNAcentral lists this ribosomal RNA (396 nucleotides) under uncultured bacterium. RNAcentral describes it as "bacterial SSU rRNA". It matches the Rfam family "Bacterial small subunit ribosomal RNA", at positions 768 to 1162 of the family's 1533-position model. The record is from RNAcentral.
ACCAAAUAGAUACCCAGGUAGUCCACGCCCUAAACGAUGCGAACUGGAUGUUGGGUACAUUACGGUACUCAGUGUCGAAAGCUAAACGCGUUAAGUUCGCCGCCUGGGGAGUACGGUCGCAAGACUGAAACUCAAAGGAAUUGACGGGGGCCCGGCACAAGCGGUGGAGUAUGUGGUUUAAUUCGAUGCAACGCGAAGAACCUUACCUGGCCUUGACAUCUGUCGAAUCCUACAGAGAUGCGGGAGUGCCGCAAGGAACGACAAGACAGGUGCUGCAUGGCUGUCGUCAGCUCGUGUCGUGAGAUGUUGUGUUAAGUUCCCGCAACGAGCGCAACCCUUGUCCCUAGUUGCCAGCACGUAAUGGUGGGAACUCUAGGGUAGACUGCCGGUGACAAA